RNAcentral lists this ribosomal RNA (590 nucleotides) under uncultured soil bacterium C0168. RNAcentral describes it as "bacterial SSU rRNA". It matches the Rfam family "Bacterial small subunit ribosomal RNA", at positions 77 to 703 of the family's 1533-position model. The record is from RNAcentral.
UCUUGGGUUCGGUGAGUGAAAUGGCGGACGGUGAGAAANGCGUGGGAACUGCUUGUGGUUCGGAAUAACNGCGGGGAAAUGCGGUAAUACCGGAUGAGCCCGAAAGGGGAGAGAUUUAUCGCCAUGAGAGGGGCCCGCGUCCGAUUAGGUAGUUGGUGGGGUAACGGCNUACCAAGCNUGCGAUCGGUAGCUGGUCUGAGAGGAUGAUCAGCCACACUGGGACUGAGAUACGGCCCAGACUCCUACGGGAGGCAGCAGUGGGGAAUAUUGGACAAUGGGGGCAACCCUGAUCCAGCAAUGCCGCGUGAGUGAAGAAGGCCUUAGGGUUGUAAAGCUCUUUCGCCCGCGACGAUGAUGACGGUAGCGGGAGAAGAAGCCCCGGCUAACUCCGUGCCAGCAGCCGCGGUAAUACGGAGGGGGCUAGCGUUGUUCGGAAUUACUGGGCGUAAAGGGCGCGUAGGCGGCUAUUCAAGUCAGGCGUGAAAGGCCUGGGCNCAACCCGGGAACUGCGUUUGAUACUGGAUGGCUUGAGUACGGGAGAGGAUGGCGGAAUUNCCCAGUGUAGAGGUGAAAUNCGUAGAUAUUGGGAA